RNAcentral lists this small RNA (113 nucleotides) under Halopseudomonas yangmingensis. The record is from RNAcentral. Lineage: Bacteria; Pseudomonadati; Pseudomonadota; Gammaproteobacteria; Pseudomonadales; Pseudomonadaceae.
AGGGAGCACGCAGGAAGCACGCAUAGCAACAGGGAUUAUGGACAGUGUCUGGAGACGCGCCAUUAGGGAUGAUCAGGACAAUAUUCUGCAAAGCCUCGCUUCGGCGGGGUUUU